This 396-nucleotide ribosomal RNA is filed under the name uncultured bacterium. RNAcentral's name for it is "bacterial SSU rRNA". It matches the Rfam family "Bacterial small subunit ribosomal RNA", at positions 975 to 1368 of the family's 1533-position model. The record is from RNAcentral.
CAGCCCUUGACAUGGACGUCGGGGUCCCGAGAGAUCGGGCCUUCGGUUCGGCCGGACGUCACACAGGUGCUGCAUGGCUGUCGUCAGCUCGUGUCGUGAGAUGUUGGGUUAAGUCCCGCAACGAGCGCAACCCUCAUCUUCAGUUGCCAUCGGGUAACGCUGGGCACUCUGAAGAAACCGCCGGUGACAAGCCGGAGGAAGGCGGGGAUGACGUCAAGUCCUCAUGGCCCUUAUGGGCUGGGCUACACACGUGCUACAAUGGUGGUGACAACGGGAUGCAAUGGCGCGAGCCCUAGCAAAUCUCGAAAAGCCAUCUCAGUUCAGAUUGCACUCUGCAACUCGGGUGCAUGAAGGUGGAAUCGCUAGUAAUCGCGGAUCAGCAUGCCGCGGUGAAUA